AAAAAUGCUUUUUAAUAGCAAUUUAAAUAAUAACGCCACAUAUAUCUUUAAUAAUGCAAAAAACGAUGAAGUAUUAUUUGAUCCCCGUUCGAACAACAAAAAAUAUUAUUUGAGCCCCGCAUUCCAGACACCUUAAAAUUUCUCGGCAAGAGAAAUUAACCCUCAAUGGCUAGUGAGUUGCAGAUUCAAGUUCCAUUCUCUCCGGUUCACUUAUUUCACAUACCAUUAUGUAAGAACCGGUGCUUCAUAUCUCAAAUGCCAAGCUUCACUUCAUUAUCCGCUGCAUGGCUAUUAUAGUACAAUGAAAUACUAGUAAAGUAACCAACGAAAUUAACAUCAGUUUAACCACCAAAUCAAAAUAAGAAUCCCAGCAAAACAGGGCAGCAAAAGAAGCAGCAUGGAGUUACUCUGAUGAGGCUUUCUCUUUUUUCUGUGUCUCCGAUGAUAGGUACCCCUGACCCUUUGCCCAACGGGAUAGUUGAUAGAGUUGCACAGUCUCGUUUGAAGCA
This 509-nucleotide unclassified non-coding RNA is filed under the name Hevea brasiliensis (rubber tree). The record is from RNAcentral. Lineage: Eukaryota; Viridiplantae; Streptophyta; Magnoliopsida; Malpighiales; Euphorbiaceae.